Molecule: ribosomal RNA, 389 nt
Filed under: uncultured bacterium
Lineage: Bacteria
Description: bacterial SSU rRNA
Rfam family: Bacterial small subunit ribosomal RNA
Source: RNAcentral
GACGAACGCUGGCGGCGUGCUUAACACAUGCAAGUCGAGCGGAAAGGCCCUUUCGGGGGUACUCGAGCGGCGAACGGGUGAGUAACACGUGAGUAAUCUACCCUUGGCUUUGGGAUAACCACCGGAAACGGUGGCUAAUACCGGAUAUGACGGGCUCCGGCAUCGGGGUUCGUGGAAAGUUUUUUCGGCCAGGGAUGUGCUCGCGGCCUAUCAGCUUGUUGGUGGGUAAUGGCCUACCAAGGCCUCGACGGGUAGCCGGCCUGAGAGGGUGACCGGCCACACUGGGACUGAGACACGGCCCAGACUCCUACGGGAGGCAGCAGUGGGGAAUAUUGGACAAUGGGCGAAGCCUGAUCCAGCAACGCCGCGUGAGGGAUGACGGCCUUGGU